This 525-nucleotide ribosomal RNA is filed under the name Triticum aestivum (bread wheat). RNAcentral's name for it is "partial small subunit ribosomal RNA". Lineage: Eukaryota; Viridiplantae; Streptophyta; Magnoliopsida; Poales; Poaceae. The record is from RNAcentral.
AUGCGUGCAGGCAUAGAGGAGGUAUUUCCGUUGGCAGUGCACAGGCACUGCAGGUGGCACAUUAUAAAGAAGGUUGAAGAGACGCUAGGACCGUUCUUUGCUGACCGUCCAGAGCUCCACAAGGCGUUCGAGCUGUGCGUGGACCACAUCUUGAAGGUGGAGGAGUUUGAAAGGAGCUGGAUGGCCAUGAUUGAAACAUAUCAAGUCCAAGACAACGAGACGCUUGCUAACCUGUGGGAGAAGCGAAUGUACUGGGUGCCAGCCUACUUCAUGCAGUGCUUCUUUCCCUUUCUGCAGACUACGCAGCGCAGCGAGGGGUUCAAUGCUGUUUUGAAGUGGUACGUGAGCCCUGGCAACUCAUUGCUACAGUUUGCCAAGCAGUACACAGCUUUGAAACAAAAAAUUCUGGGAUCUGAGCUACAGCAAGAAGCUACCACCGCGCUAAAGCAGCCGAAAUUGCUAACGUAUUUACCGAUGGAGAGGCAAAUGAGCAAGAUAUACACAAACAAGAUCUUUAACAAGUAA